CGCAGGACUCCAUGCUUGAGUCGCUGUCCUGAGGAUCUCCUUCACCCUCAUCUUCCUCCAAACUCCUGAACAGACCAUGAAAUACAUACAGAACAUGUCAACAAACACACAGACGUUCACAUGACAAUUCUUCUACAGUACCAGGUUGAUAGGCAGGAAACACCUCGCCUAGACCAAACAUCAGCAUCAUAACGCCUAAGAACCCCAGCAGAUGUUUACACAUCGUCCUCCAGUCCACAGGGCUCGGAGACAUGUCCACCCUGUUCCUGAUGAACAUGUCAAAGUCCCAGUGGAUCUACAAUACCAACAUGAAACAUCACAUCAUGACACACCCACCAGGAGCAAUACAUGCAACCCUUAUCAGUGAAUAGACUACAGUGUUGUGAGUCUUCUCUUACAGGCUCUCCUCAGUUUCUCCUCAGAUCAGGAUGGUCCCACUGAUACCAUGGGUCUCUUUCAUGCUGUGAUCUGUUUGGCAACAUGGGGUAGUCACCAUACCUGAAAAACAACAAUGCAAACAAAAAGUUAGAACCCUCAACUGCAGGUGUUUUUCAGGGUCUUAAAUUCACUCAGAAACUGCAGUCUGAGAGACACACCCCCUGCCAUCAUCAGGAUACAGCUGGUAAUCUUCCAGAGUCAUGUUGUAUUUCUUGGCUGCUGCUGCUCUCUCCUCUGGGGUUUUGGGGUACGGGCCAGGCAGCAUGCCCUGUGAAACACCAGAGGCUGCAACACAACACACAAACGAAAGAACUCGAGUCAACAGACCCGCUCUGACCGCCGCCAUACUGCCUCACUGAAACAAGCGCGCAUGCGCAGAGUGCUGUCAAUCAAUCAACACAGAGGACACGCCCCAAUUACACUGCAGCAACACACCUGAAAAAGCAAUAACCUACCGAGAUGCUCCAAACCAUAUAUAGACUGUGUUUAUUAUGUGCACUGUGUAGUUUGUUUAUAAUAUUUCUCUUCAAAAGUCCUGUAUUGCUGAAUUAUUUGUGAUACUUCACCCUCAAACCAAUAAUAAAAUAUAUAUUUGAGUAUGUUACCUGCAUUUCAAAUGGAUUUAAUUGCUUGUGUAUUUUU
This is a long non-coding RNA of Myxocyprinus asiaticus (Chinese sucker), 1080 nucleotides long. RefSeq lists it as uncharacterized. Lineage: Eukaryota; Metazoa; Chordata; Actinopteri; Cypriniformes; Catostomidae. The record is from RefSeq and is a predicted model, not a curated record. The transcript has 3 exons.